Pelobates cultripes (western spadefoot toad) is the source of this 638-nucleotide non-coding RNA. NCBI's taxonomy places the organism in Eukaryota, Metazoa, Chordata, Amphibia, Anura, Pelobatidae. The record is from the annotation of a GenBank genome assembly.
CACAACUGAAAACUUACGAAUCCCAUUAAAAUGGACGCUGCCGUGCUUUCAUUUCAGCAAAGCUGUCCACAAUGUUUUCAAUGUUAAGUUUUCUAGCUCUCUCAUUUUCAAUACUUAACAGAGCUAGGCCAGAUAGUCUCUGUUGUGACAUUGUGCUUCUCAAGUAGUUUUUUUAACUUUAAUUUUGAAAAGGACCUUUCUGCACUUGCAACUGUAACUGGAAUGGUGAGGAAUAGUAGGAACGCUAUGCACACAUCUUGAAGAUUGGAUGACAAUGCACAGUUUUCAACUAAUAGAAGGUGAGAAAGGUCCUUUACAGUGGAGCAUCUCCGAAUCUCUUCCUGAAAUGUUGAACGGAAACUCAGAAGCUGUUCUGGGAAAGAAGGUGACAUGUCCUCUGGGUAGCAUUCCUGUAGCUGUGAAGCAGCUUUGAACAAAUCAUCAGUUUCAGAGGCAAGGAUUGUAGGCUGAAGUAUAUUAAAUCUCUGCAUGACAUUGCUCAUUCCAGCAAAUCGGUUAGACAGCUGGUUGGUCACAAUGUCUAAACACCUAUAAAACACAACGGUUUUAAAGCAUUGUUCAGGAUCCUGCAACCUUUCAUCAACUGAAAGUUCAUCAAAGUGACGCUUUACUUUUCU